UAGUGAACCAGUACCGUGAGGGAAAGGCGAAAAGAACCCCGGCGAGGGGAGUGAAAAAGAACCUGAAACCGUGUACGUACAAGCAGUGGGAGCCCCACCACUAAGCCAGUGGUGAACUCCACAUACGCAUCCUUUGCUGAGGAUACGGUUAACGGAGCGCAAGCGACGUUCAACCUCAAAAGAAGCAGAGGGGGCUUAGUGGUGGGGUGACUGCGUACCUUUUGUAUAAUGGGUCAGCGACUUAUAUUCUGUAGCAAGGUUAACCGUAUAGGGGAGCCGGAGGGAAACCGAGUCUUAACCGGGCGUUAAGUUGCAGGGUAUAGACCCGAAACCCGGUGAUCUAGCCAUGGGCAGGUUGAA
This 360-nucleotide ribosomal RNA is filed under the name Salmonella enterica subsp. enterica. Its description in RNAcentral is "partial 23S ribosomal RNA". It matches the Rfam family "Bacterial large subunit ribosomal RNA", at positions 488 to 749 of the family's 2925-position model. Lineage: Bacteria; Pseudomonadati; Pseudomonadota; Gammaproteobacteria; Enterobacterales; Enterobacteriaceae. The record is from RNAcentral.